CUGCCCGCUUUGCAGACUAAAGCUGUCUGUUUACACACAGAGAAAGGAGCAGAGCCAGCUUCCCCACACUGCCCCACCAAUGUGCCUUAGCCUGUCUCAGAGAGAUGACCUCUAAGGGUAUGUCUACAUUCCAAUGUAAGCCUGGGCUCAG
This 151-nucleotide small RNA is filed under the name Chelonoidis abingdonii (Abingdon island giant tortoise). Its description in RNAcentral is "TUC338 (ENSCABG00000016189.1)". Lineage: Eukaryota; Metazoa; Chordata; Testudines; Testudinidae. The record is from RNAcentral.